This 29-nucleotide non-coding RNA is filed under the name Bombyx mori (domestic silkworm). The record is from RNAcentral. Lineage: Eukaryota; Metazoa; Arthropoda; Insecta; Lepidoptera; Bombycidae.
UGAAUAAUCUUUAAAUCGUCUUGUACAGC